UACGUAGGGUGCGAGCGUUGUCCGGAAUUAUUGGGCGUAAAGAGCUCGUAGGCGGUGUGUCACGUCGGCCGUGAAAACCUGCAGCUUAACUGUGGGCGUGCGGUCGAUACGGGCAUCACUGGAGUUCGGCAGGGGAGACUGGAAUUCCUGGUGUAGCGGUGAAAUGCGCAGAUAUCAGGAGGAACACCGGCGGCGAAGGCGGGUCUCUGGGCCGAUACUGACGCUGAGGAGCGAAAGCCAGGGGAGCAAACGGG
RNAcentral lists this ribosomal RNA (254 nucleotides) under uncultured bacterium. RNAcentral's name for it is "partial 16S ribosomal RNA". It matches the Rfam family "Bacterial small subunit ribosomal RNA", at positions 524 to 776 of the family's 1533-position model. The record is from RNAcentral.